UAGACCUACGGGAGGCAGCAGUGAGGAAUAUUGGUCAAUGGGCGCAAGCCUGAACCAGCCAAGUCGCGUGAGGGAUGUCGGUCCUAUGGAUUGUAAACCUCUUUUGUCGGGGAGCAAGGCCCGCCACGUGUGGCGGGAAGGAGAGUACCCGAAGAAAAAGCAUCGGCUAACUCCGUGCCAGCAGCCGCGGUAAUACGGAGGAUGCGAGCGUUAUCCGGAUUUAUUGGGUUUAAAGGGUGCGUAGGCGGAGGGUCAAGUCAGCGGUAAAAUUUCGGGG
This 277-nucleotide ribosomal RNA is filed under the name uncultured bacterium. Its description in RNAcentral is "partial 16S ribosomal RNA". It matches the Rfam family "Bacterial small subunit ribosomal RNA", at positions 334 to 607 of the family's 1533-position model. The record is from RNAcentral.